GAUGAACGCUGGCGGCGUGCCUAAUACAUGCAAGUCGAACGAAACUUCUUUAUCACCGAGUGCUUGCACUCACCGAUAAAGAGUUGAGUGGCGAACGGGUGAGUAACACGUGGGCAACCUGCCCAAAAGAGGGGGAUAACACUUGGAAACAGGUGCUAAUACCGCAUAACCAUAGUUACCGCAUGGUAACUAUGUAAAAGGUGGCUAUACUACCGCUUUUGGAUGGGCCCGCGGCGCAUUAGCUAGUUGGUAGGGUAAAGGCUUACCAAGGCAAUGAUGCGUAGCCGAAUUGAGAGGUUGAUCGGCCACAUUGGGAAUGAGACACGGCCCAAACGCCUACGGGAGGCAGCAGUAGGGAAUCUUCCACAAUGGGCGAAAGCCUGAUGGAGCAACGCCGCGUGGGUGAAGAAGGUCUUCGGAUCGUAAAACCCUGUUGUUAGAGAAGAAAGUGCGUGAGAGUAACUGUUCACGUUUCGACGGUAUCUAACCAGAAAGCCACGGCUAACUACGU
Molecule: ribosomal RNA, 511 nt
Filed under: uncultured bacterium
Lineage: Bacteria
Description: partial 16S ribosomal RNA
Rfam family: Bacterial small subunit ribosomal RNA
Source: RNAcentral